GUUAUAUGGAGUCACUUUGUGAAAAGUGACUUUUCUUGCACUUUUCUGUAUAUGGUAUUCAAUAUUUACCAAAAAAAAAAAAAAUAGGACUUUUUCAGAAAGGUGUCCUCUUUAACACACCUGCCAGCGAGCUUAUUACCACGGCCGCCCUCCUCCCAGCUCCCUUCUACGCGAAGGCACAUCGUUUGCCCAGCGAGGAGCUCAGGAUCCGCUGGCCUCAGACCCGCCCGCACGGCCCACCCCCCGCCGGCUGAGCCGGGAGCCGCCUGUCCCUCUACUGCCUCCCCGAGCCUGCGGUGAGGGGUUCGGGGUCUCCCCCCACACCCCAUCUUGCUCUCCUCCGUCGCCUGGCACACGUUGCCCUGUCCAGGAGCACCGAGGGCUCUGGAGGCCCUUCUUGGUCGUUCUGUGACCCAUCUCGGCACAGCUCCUGGCGUGCCCGGGGCACCUCCUCUGUCGCAGUGUGGGCCACACAGCAUGCGCUCGGAAGAGCCCCGCCCCGCCCGCCGUCGGGGAGACACUGGUCCUCACUCACCUCUCGGGUUCUGCUCGAGUUCGCAGCACGCGUCCUGCCCCCACUUCGCUCAGGCUUCACAGAGCACGACUCCCAGGUGCUGGUCCCUCUGCUGGGCUGCACCCGUGGCCACGGCCUGUCGCGUGUUCUGUGUCCCCUCUUGGCAGCCGGCAUGCUUCCCUCCCCACGAGUGGCCAGGCUGCCAGGGGGCAGCGGGGCCGGGGAGGCCUGGGGACUGGAUGGCGAGACAGCCCACAGGUGGGAACAGGCAUGGGACAUGCCUGGUGACUUCUCCCGAAAAACCCCAAACCCCAGUCCACCUGGAGGUGGCCCUUGCUGGCUGUCACGGUGUCCGCAUCGCGCCCCCUCCCCGCCACCCCGGAGUUCUGCCUGGGUGUCUACUGCGUGCCCGUGUGCCUUGAAGAUGACGUGGUCCCAGCCUACAGGUCAGCUCAGACCCGCAGCCACAGGGAGACGCACAGAGAUGAUGGGACCCGCGGCCCGGCCAAGGCUCUGCUGAGAAGCCUCGCGGGGAGUCCUCCACGCCCCUGGGGACCGAGCCAUCCUGCAGACAGCAGGGCCUGAGGGACGGGCCCUAGGGCUUCCUUGGUGCCUGCCCUCCUGCACGGCUGCUUCCUCGGACAGAACGUCCCUUCCUCUCCACCGCCAGCUGGAGAGCAGCUUCGCGUGGCCCGCGGUGUGAGCAGCCCAGAGUGACACUGCUUUACGUGUUAACAACUAACUCAGUCCUCAGCUGCAGGCUGGACUCUCCCAGUUCACAACCUCUGACCCAGUUCAACCCCUUUAUUAUUAUUUUUUUUAAUUUAUUUUUGGCUGCAUUGGGUCUUAAUUGCUGCACACAGGCUUUCUCUAGUUGUGGAGAGCGGAGGCUACUCUUCGUUGCGGUGUGCGGGCUUCUCAUUGCAGUGGCUUCUCUUGUUGCGGAGCACGGGCUCUAGGUGCGCGGGCUUCAGCAGUGGCGGCACGCGGGCUCUAGAGUGCAGGCUCAGUAGUUGUGGCACACGGGCUUAGUUGCUCCGCGGCAUGUGGGAUCUUCCCAGACCAGGGCUCGAACCCGUGUCCCCUGCAUUGGCAAGUGGAUUCUUAACCACUGCACCAUCAGGGAAGCCCAACCCGUUUAUUCUUAAAUGGGGAACUGAAGCCCAGACGGGGAAAGCCAACUGCUCUGGUCAUGGAGCUCUUUUCUGAAACCAACGUGCCCACUCGGUGAGGCGGGGGGUAGGGGUGGGGGGUGGAGGCAGCACCCACUCAGCGCAGCUCCUACAGGUCGCCAGACGGGCUUUGAAAUCAAAGCGUGUGGGUUUGAGGGCUUGGUUUCUCAAUAGCUAUUUAAAGCCCAGUUAUCGGAUUACUUAAAAGCUACUGCCACUAAGGCAGAGAGCACAUGACCGACCCCCAGCCCCUCGGUACUGAAAAGACGGCAUCUCAUCUCUUGAGAUGGGACGUCCCAGGGCAGCUGGGUCCACCUCACUGGGUUCAGGAACAUUCUCUGGUGGGUGGCUCCCAGGUAUACCCUAGGUAUCCUGGUGUUUAAACAAAACUCGACGUGUAACUGACAGUAUUCUGAUGGUUGUGUGUGUGUAAAAACUACAUAUAAAAGUGUUAGGGGGGCCUCCCUGGUGGCGCAGUGAUUGAGAGUCCGCCUGCCAAUGCAGGGGACACGGGUUCGUGCCCUGGUCCGGGAAGAUCCCAUGUGCCGCGGAGCGGCUAGGCCCGUGAGCUAUGGCCGCUGAGCCUGCGCGUCCGGAGCCCGUGCUCCACAAGGGAGAGGCCACAACAGUGAGAGGCCCGCGUACCACAACAACAAUAAAAAAAAGUGUUAGGCUGCUUUACCAGCUCCCACGGACCCCAGAGUCUGGCUGAGACAGAACAUACUUUUCUCCAGUGUUAUCAGCUGGUGUAAACAGUUUAGGAAAGAUAAAUGACCAGCCCAGUUGGGCGUAAGAACCUCUGAGAUACGAAAUUCCAGGGCUGUGUCUCCAGCCCCCAGGGAGGUCCUGGAAGGGCCUCAUCGUGGUACCUGCUUCUCGACCAUCAGCCUCUGGAUCAGGUUUCUAAAUGAAAUCUCGUUCUCUCUUGUGUGAUCUGUACCUGGCCGAUUGAUACAGCAGCCGCUCACUGUAUGACUAGAUGAAAAUACAAAUUUAAAAUUAAAAACUCAGCUCCUUACAGUUGCACUCUCCACUUUUCAAGUGCUCAGCAGCCCGUGUCCAGUGGCCACUCUGCUGGGCCGCCCAGUUCCGGAACAUUUCUGCCUGAUCCAUAAUCUCUCCGGGUUUGUUUACCGACGCACAGAUGAUUGGAUCCUGUGUCUGCUGCCUUUGCAAGAGGCCACGACGACUAGGUGGCCUAUUAAAAACAGGCCUUUUCACCUGCUCCCCAGGGGCUCUCUUUGGGGCAGAGCUGGUCCUUCUGUCCGCUCUGCUGUGCUCUUGGACUCCCACUCUGACUUGGUAGCGAUGAAACGCGGUAGCUUGUCUAACGGACAGGUUGUAGGCAGCGGAGGCAUCUGAGGGUGUACACCGCUGACAGUUGCAGCUUUUUCUUUGGCACUUUGCAGAGGAUACUGAAAUAUUACUUCAAAAGAUGAAGCGAUAGAAAUGGAAUACGAAUCAGUCAUUAUACCUCAUGAUGCGUCUGUGAACGCCCGGUACUUACUUUUGGGUUAUUACCGUCUUCAGCCCAAGGUUAGAUGCACGUUUACAGACGUGGAAAACUGAACAUCCAGAAGAGUCAGGGUGACUGGGUGAGAGGCUCUGAAAUGACGGAUGGCAGCGCCUCGUUCAGGAAGUGCACGAACCUUGUGGCCUUUGAUGAUUUUUAAAAGCCAAUUAACAUUUUCUUGUGGCCUUUAUUAAUUAGCAUUUUCCAUUAUUCUCCAGAUCAGAACAUAGUAACCUAUUGGUACGUCUUAAACAGCACACAGGUGACGGUGGUACUUGUCUCAUCAAUGGAGUUCUGAUGGAGGGACACCUACAUGCUGCUGAUCCGUGAGGAUGAGAGGGGCGCAGAGGUGCUAUUCAUGGGCUCACAGGGUUCCUGCCACAGGCCUGCAGCUCAUGACAGCCCAGGCAGCAGUGCUGGGGCUUGUUAGAAGCAUAAAUGCUUCUAAGGAGACCCUGACCAAACUUGGACUUUGCUGUUUAGCCAAAACCUGUAGCUUCGACUGCCCGCCGGAUUUAAAAGGAAACCUAAUUUCAGCAUAUGUUUAAUGUACCCAGCAAAUGGCAACAUUUGAGCAGUGGACGGGACUCCUACCGUCCCCUCCCUGGAUGAACGAAUGCCGCCCGGAAGGAUGGGAAAGGACGCAGUACAGCCCAGGCGGCCCGGCUCGGGGAGCGUCACCCCUGGCCUGCCCAUCCUGCCGCUUCUCCGCCGUUGCCCCAACCGCGCCCAGCCACGCAGACCCCACGACACCGUCUGAAGGCUUUGGGUUUCAUCAGAGCUCUUCCUUCAGGACUCGGCUCAAAUGCUUGCCUCCAAGAAGCCACUUCUGAUGCUUCCCAGGAGCCUGAGCCAGGGCCUUCCCCGCCUCCUGUCACCCUGCACCUUUUCCACAGCCCCAAUAAACAGCGCUCACUGGACUCA
Molecule: long non-coding RNA, 4123 nt
Organism: Lagenorhynchus albirostris (white-beaked dolphin)
Lineage: Eukaryota; Metazoa; Chordata; Mammalia; Artiodactyla; Delphinidae
Exons: 3
Source: RefSeq, a predicted model, not a curated record